GUGCAUCGAACUGCUUCCCUCACUUUCGAUCAGUUGUUGCUCCACGAGAUAAACGUUGGACGCAAGACAUGGGUUCCUGUGUUGCAUACCUAUUGCGACGGAAAUGUGUGCCUUCGAUCGUCCCUUCCAUCACGGCGUCCUCACGGAUGCUCGGUUGGACCGGAUAGUGGGGCUCGUGUUCCACGAACGUCGUCUCAUUCGACCGUUCGGAUGGACCACGGGUGCCCACUCGUUCUCUCGGAUGCGGAAAUCUGUUGAUGGGCGUGGGGUCAUUGGCCCUUGGUCCCUAAUCGUUAAGCGUUUAUCGCUUCACCGGAAUGACGAUCUCGCCUUGUCCUUGACCACGCGAAGCCCUCGGGCAUCGCGACGGAUCAUGCUCGGCGGACGUCGUGAAGGAAUGC
This 401-nucleotide unclassified non-coding RNA is filed under the name Eucalyptus muelleriana (yellow stringybark). RNAcentral describes it as "partial external transcribed spacer". Lineage: Eukaryota; Viridiplantae; Streptophyta; Magnoliopsida; Myrtales; Myrtaceae. The record is from RNAcentral.